Molecule: ribosomal RNA, 1451 nt
Filed under: metagenome
Description: bacterial LSU rRNA
Rfam family: Bacterial large subunit ribosomal RNA
Source: RNAcentral
UUAACAGAACUGUGGGGACACAGGCAGAGAGCGUGAGCCGGGAAUGGAAAGACCGGUACAAGCGAGGUAGGAGAAGAGUUGGCAAAUCCGCUCUUUAAUCUGAAGACGUGAUGUGGACUGAAAAUAAGUAGGGAAGCACGUGAGCUGACUGUCGAGAAAAGCCGCUAUUGUUUGCAGGAUACCCGUACCGUAAACCGACACAGGUGGAUGAGGAGAGAGUCCUAAGGCCGACGGGAGAAGCAUUGUUAAGGAACUCGGCAAAAUGACUCCGUAACUUCGGGAGAAGGAGUGCCAGUAAGAUGGCCGCAGAGAAUUGGCCCAAGCAACUGUUUAGCAAAAACACAGGUCUAUGCAAAACCGAAAGGUGAGGUAUAUGGGCUGACGCCUGCCCGGUGCUGGAAGGUUAAGGGGAGAGGUUAGCGCAAGCGAAGCUUUGAACUUAAGCCCCAGUAAACGGCGGCCGUAACAAUAACGGUCCUAAGGUAGCGAAAUUCCUUGUCGGGUAAGUUCCGACCCGCACGAAAGGCGUAAUGAUUUGGGCACUGUCUCAACAAUGCACCCGGUGAAAUUGAAAUACCAGUGAAGAUGCUGGUUACCUGCGCCAGGACGGAAAGACCCCAUGGAGCUUUACUCCAGCUUGAUACUGGGAUUCGGUAUUGCAUGUACAGGAUAGGUGGGAGGCUAGGAAAUGGUAACGCCAGUUGCCAUGGAGCCAAUGUUGGGAUACCACCCUUGCAGUACUGGGUUUCUAACCAGCAGCCGUGAUCCGGCUGGGGGACAAUGUCAGGUGGGGAGUUUGACUGGGGCGGUCGCCUCCGAAAGGGUAUCGGAGGCGCUCAAAGGUUCCCUCAGAAUGGUUGGAAACCAUUCGAAGAGUGCAAAGGCAGAAGGGAGCUUGACUGCGACACCGACGGGUGGAGCAGGUACGAAAGUAGGACUUAGUGAUCCGGUGGUAUAAAGUGGGAUUGCCAUCGCUCAACGGAUAAAAGCUACCCUGGGGAUAACAGGCUUAUCACUCCCAAGAGUUCACAUCGACGGAGUGGUUUGGCACCUCGAUGUCGGCUCAUCGCAUCCUGGGGCUGAAGUAGGUCCCAAGGGUUGGGCUGUUCGCCCAUUAAAGCGGUACGCGAGCUGGGUUCAGAACGUCGUGAGACAGUUUGGUCCCUAUCCGGCGUGGGCGUAAGAUAUUUGAGAGGAGCUGUCCUUAGUACGAGAGGACCGGGAUGGACUGGCCGCUGGUGUAUCUGUUGUCUUACCAAAGGCAUAGCAGAGUAGCCAAGCCGGGAAGGGAUAAACGCUGAAGGCAUCUAAGCGUGAAGCCCCCCUCAAGAUGAGAUAUCUCAUAACGUCAAGUUAGUAAGACCCCUUGAAGACGACGAGGUAGAUAGGGCAGAGGUGGAAGUGUGGUAACACAUGGAGCUGACUGUUACUAAUAGGUCGAGGGCAUAACC